AGAGUUUGAUCAUGGCUCAGAACGAACGCUGGCGGCGUGCUUAACACAUGCAAGUCGCGUGCGCAGUUUCCGUAGCAAUACGGAGAUGGGCGCACGGCGCACGGGUGCGUAACACGUGGGCAAUCUGCCCUUUGAUGGGGAAUAACCCGCCGAAAGGCGGGCUAAUUCCGCAUAAGAUUCUUUGGACUUCGGUCUGGAGAUUGAAAGCAGCAAUGCGUCGAAGGAGGAGCCCGCGCCCGAUUAGCUAGUUGGUGAGGUAACGGCUCACCAAGGCUAUGAUCGGUAGCUGGUCUGAGAGGAUGAUCAGCCACACUGGAACUGAGACACGGUCCAGACUCCUACGGGAGGCAGCAGUGGGGAAUCUUGCACAAUGGGCGAAAGCCUGAUGCAGCGACGCCGCGUGGGGGAUGAAGCAUUUCGGUGUGUAAACCCCUUUCGACUGGGAAGAAUACCUCGCAAGAGGGGUGACGGUACCAGUAGAAGAAGCCCCGGCUAACUACGUGCCAGCAGCCGCGGUAAGACGUAGGGGGCCAGCGUUGUUCGGAAUUACUGGGUGUAAAGGGUUCGUAGGCGGUGCGGCAAGUUGGGAGUGAAAUCUCUAGGCUUAACCCAGAGGCUGCUUCCAAAACUGCUGUGCUCGAGUGUGAGAGAGGCUCGUGGAAUUGCAGGUGUAGCGGUGAAAUGCGUAGAUAUCUGCAGGAACACCCGUGGCGAAAGCGGCGAGCUGGAUCACUACUGACGCUGAGGAACGAAAGCUAGGGGAGCAAACAGGAUUAGAUACCCUAGUAGUCC
Molecule: ribosomal RNA, 792 nt
Filed under: uncultured bacterium
Lineage: Bacteria
Description: bacterial SSU rRNA
Rfam family: Bacterial small subunit ribosomal RNA
Source: RNAcentral